RNAcentral lists this non-coding RNA (78 nucleotides) under Methyloceanibacter caenitepidi. Lineage: Bacteria; Pseudomonadati; Pseudomonadota; Alphaproteobacteria; Hyphomicrobiales; Hyphomicrobiaceae. The record is from RNAcentral.
UAAUUCGCCUGUGGUGAUUUGGCCGGCCGGCUUGCAGCCACGUAAAACAAGUCGCUAAAAGGCCGCGGACGAGACACU